RNAcentral lists this long non-coding RNA (330 nucleotides) under Salmo salar (Atlantic salmon). RNAcentral's name for it is "lncRNA (ENSSSAG00000099109.1, ENSSSAG00000103811.1)". Lineage: Eukaryota; Metazoa; Chordata; Actinopteri; Salmoniformes; Salmonidae. The record is from RNAcentral.
CUACAUCUGGGAUAAAUCAAGGGAUUGGAAUAUCCUCCUGGCUGCAUGGAUCAUCUCCACAACCCAAACACUGAGCUGGACGGCCAGCAAUGCAUCCACCUCCUGGCUAUGACCCCAGGGAUGAGCAGAUGCAGACCCGAAGACAAACCAAGUCUCCAAUUGUCCCAGUACUUGUUUAUGUGCAGGCCUAAGUGACCACACACACUCAAAUGGACCUACAGCUGGGACACAUGAUGACCACAAUUUCAACGCUGCAACCGAGAUGGAAUGACAUCGAGGGACACACGCUGAGACCCUGAGUAUGACUGGACAUGGGCUAGGGUAUUUGUA